UUUCCAUCGCUCCUCGGCUUCGUGAAAGUGGCGAGGACCGUGCGCGCUUCCGGAGAAACGGGACGAUGGCAACUUCCGCGGAAGGAUCUCCGCGGAUCCCCCGAAAUUACGAAUUAAUUAACCGACGGACCGCCAAAGCAACGGGGAUGUGUAUACGUGUUGGGGAAGGGAGGAUUGAGUGAUUUCGUUUCUACCAGGAUUGCAAAGUGAAUGAAAUGCGUAAUGCGCUUUGUGCUCGAAAUUUUGAGGGA
Molecule: long non-coding RNA, 251 nt
Organism: Apis dorsata (giant honeybee)
Lineage: Eukaryota; Metazoa; Arthropoda; Insecta; Hymenoptera; Apidae
Exons: 3
Source: RefSeq, a predicted model, not a curated record